GGUUAAGCGACUAAGCGUACACGGUGGAUGCCCUGGCAGUCAGAGGCGAUGAAGGACGUGCUAAUCUGCGAAAAGCGUCGGUAAGGUGAUAUGAACCGUUACAGCCGGCGAUGUCCGAAUGGGGAAACCCAGUGUGAUUCGUCACACUAUCGUUAACUGAAUACAUAGGUUAACGAGGCGAACCGGGGGAACUGAAACAUCUAAGUACCCCGAGGAAAAGAAAUCAACCGAGAUUCCCCCAGUAGCGGCGAGCGAACGGGGAGCAGCCCAGAGUCUGAAUCAGCUUGUGUGUUAGUGGAACGGUCUGGAAAGUCCGACGGUACAGGGUGAUAGUCCCGUACACCAAAAUGCACAGGUUGUGAACUCGAAGAGUAGGGCGGGACACGUGGUAUCCUGUCUGAAUAUGGGGGGACCAUCCUCCAAGGCUAAAUACUCCUGACUGACCGAUAGUGAACCAGUACCGUGAGGGAAAGGCGAAAAGAACCCCGGCGAGGGGAGUGAAAAAGAACCUGAAACCGUGUACGUACAAGCAGUGGGAGCACCUUCGGGUGUGACUGCGUACCUUUUGUAUAAUGGGUCAGCGACUUAUAUUCUGUAGCAAGGUUAACCGUAUAGGGGAGCCGCAGGGAAACCGAGUCUUAACUGGGCGUUAAGUUGCAGGGUAUAGACCCGAAACCCGGUGAUCUAGCCAUGGGCAGGUUGAAGGUUGGGUAACACUAACUGGAGGACCGAACCGACUAAUGUUGAAAAAUUAGCGGAUGACUUGUGGCUGGGGGUGAAAGGCCAAUCAAACCGGGAGAUAGCUGGUUCUCCCCGAAAGCU
This 822-nucleotide ribosomal RNA is filed under the name Klebsiella aerogenes. RNAcentral describes it as "partial 23S ribosomal RNA". It matches the Rfam family "Bacterial large subunit ribosomal RNA", at positions 1 to 867 of the family's 2925-position model. RNAcentral also lists the same sequence under 2 other names. Lineage: Bacteria; Pseudomonadati; Pseudomonadota; Gammaproteobacteria; Enterobacterales; Enterobacteriaceae. The record is from RNAcentral.